UCCUCUUUACAGAGGCAGUUUGUUUCGAGUUCCCACCUUUACGUGCUGGUAACAAAACAUGAGGGUCGCGCUCGUUGCGGGACUUAACCCAACAUUUCACAACACGAGCUGACGACAGCCAUGCACCACCUGUGCAUCACCUUCGAAAGCGGGUGGCUUUCACCACCGUGCAGAUGCAUGUCAAGCCCUGGUAAGGUUCUUCGCGUUGCAUCGAAUUAAUCCACAUGCUCCGCCGCUUGUGCGGGCCCCCGUCAAUUCCUUUGAGUUUUAGCCUUGCGGCCGUACUCCCCAGGCGGGGCGCUUAAUGCGUUAGCUACGGCACGGAUCCCGUGGAAGGAAACCCACACCUAGCGCCCACCGUUUACGGCGUGGACUAC
This 377-nucleotide unclassified non-coding RNA is filed under the name uncultured Actinomycetes bacterium. RNAcentral describes it as "uncultured actinobacterium contains 16S-23S intergenic spacer region". The record is from RNAcentral. Lineage: Bacteria; Bacillati; Actinomycetota; Actinomycetes.